Molecule: ribosomal RNA, 551 nt
Filed under: uncultured bacterium
Lineage: Bacteria
Description: bacterial SSU rRNA
Rfam family: Bacterial small subunit ribosomal RNA
Source: RNAcentral
AGUCCACACGGUAAACGAUGAAUACUCGCUGUUGGCGAUAUACAGUCAGCGGCCAAGCGAAAGCAUUAAGUAUUCCACCUGGGGAGUACGCCGGCAACGGUGAAACUCAAAGGAAUUGACGGGGGCCCGCACAAGCGGAGGAACAUGUGGUUUAAUUCGAUGAUACGCGAGGAACCUUACCCGGGCUUAAAUUGCACUGGACAGGCUCAGAGAUGGGCUCUUCUUCGGACCAGUGUGAAGGUGCUGCAUGGUUGUCGUCAGCUCGUGCCGUGAGGUGUCGGCUUAAGUGCCAUAACGAGCGCAACCCUUGCCAUUAGUUACUAACAGGUCAUGCUGAGGACUCUAGUGGGACUGCCAUCGUAAGAUGUGAGGAAGGUGGGGAUGACGUCAAAUCAGCACGGCCCUUACGUCCGGGGCUACACACGUGUUACAAUGGGAGGUACAGAAGGCUGCUACCCGGCGACGGGAUGCCAAUCCCCAAAACCUCUCUCAGUUCGGAUUGGAGUCUGCAACCCGACUCCAUGAAGCUGGAUUCGCUAGUAAUCGCGCAU